This 228-nucleotide long non-coding RNA is filed under the name Capsicum annuum. RNAcentral describes it as "long non-coding RNA (CANN_LNC006148)". The record is from RNAcentral. Lineage: Eukaryota; Viridiplantae; Streptophyta; Magnoliopsida; Solanales; Solanaceae.
UGAAAUGUUGCAUUACUAGCAUGAUUGUGAGAUUGCCCUCCUUUUUUCUUCUUAAGAUCUGUAGGGUAUCCAUGAAGCUUGUAACAUGUGUCUCUAGUAUGACCCUUGAAGUGAUAAUAGUCACAAUACAGAGAACUUCUUCCAUAAGCGGCUCUUUGCUCAUAGAGAUGCCUUGGUCGGAAAGCAACAUUAGAUCCACCUUGACCAUUAUUAGAAGUGUUGUAGUUG